This 254-nucleotide ribosomal RNA is filed under the name uncultured bacterium. RNAcentral describes it as "partial 16S ribosomal RNA". It matches the Rfam family "Bacterial small subunit ribosomal RNA", at positions 99 to 354 of the family's 1533-position model. The record is from RNAcentral.
CGGACGGGUGAGUAACGCGUGGAAAACCUGCCGUAUACUGGGGGAUAACACUUAGAAAUAGGUGCUAAUACCGCAUAAGCGCACAGCUUCGCAUGAAGCGGUGUGAAAAACUCUGGUGGUAUACGAUGGUUCCGCGUCUGAUUAGCUAGUUGGUGGGGUAAUGGCCUACCAAGCAACGAUCAGUAGCCGGCCUGAGAGGGUGAACGGCCACAUUGGGACUGAGACACGGCCCAAACUCCUACGGGAGGCAGCAG